RNAcentral lists this ribosomal RNA (682 nucleotides) under Funneliformis caledonium. Its description in RNAcentral is "partial large subunit ribosomal RNA". The record is from RNAcentral. Lineage: Eukaryota; Fungi; Glomeromycota; Glomeromycetes; Glomerales; Glomeraceae.
UCCGAGAUGGGUACGGGUGCUUUUUGUUUUGGUUUCGUGGGGUUUCGAAAGUUUACAGCCUUCGGAUUUUCGAGAUUGGGCUCUUCUGGUGUACUUUCUCGUACGGUUAGUCAACAUCGGUUUUGAAUGUCAUAAAAUGACUGGAGGAAUGUGGCUUCGAUCUCGUAUUGAAGUGUUAUAGCCUUUGGUAGAUGUGAUGUUUGAGAUCGAGGAUUGCAACGGAUACCCUUCUGGGCUAUUCGUCUGAUCUCUGAAACGUUGCCUUGAUGUCGAAAGCUUGCUUAUGAUGUUAGGGUAUUACGGUCAAAAGGUUAGAACGGAUUAAAUUCGUUAAGAGGUUGGACGUAACUUCAAUCGUUUUCUCUUUCAAAAGCUUUCGACUUCGGGGCCACUUUUCAAAGAUAACACGAACCGCCAAGGAAGGGUAUCCGUUGCAGUCCUCGAUCUCAAACAUCACAGCUCUAAAGGCUAUUACACUUCGUACCAGCUCGAACCCUCAUUCCUCCGUCAUUUCAAGACAUUCAAAACCGAUAUAGACUAACCCUACGAGAAAGUACACCAUACGAGCCCAAUCUAGAAUGUCGCGAACGCUUUCCACACUCUACGAAACCCACGACACCUAACUCAGAGAUUUGAUCUCCCCCUUCUUAUAGGCAGACUUCAUCGUUUCCCUAUCAAGUGC